UAAUACGUAGGGUGCGAGCGUUAAUCGGAAUAACUGGGCGUAAAGGGUGCGCAGGCGGUUGUAUAAGUUAGAUGUGAAAAACCUGAGCUCAACUUAGGUCGUGCAUUUAAUACUGUAUAACUAGAGUUAGUAAGAGGAUGGGAGAAUUCCGAGUGUAGCAGUGAAAUGCGUAGAGAUUCGGAGGAACACCAGUGGCGAAGGCGCCCAUCUGGGAUAUAACUGACGCUCAUGCACGAAAGCGUGGGGAGCAAACAGG
RNAcentral lists this ribosomal RNA (256 nucleotides) under uncultured bacterium. RNAcentral's name for it is "partial 16S ribosomal RNA". It matches the Rfam family "Bacterial small subunit ribosomal RNA", at positions 521 to 776 of the family's 1533-position model. The record is from RNAcentral.